RNAcentral lists this ribosomal RNA (441 nucleotides) under uncultured bacterium. RNAcentral describes it as "bacterial SSU rRNA". It matches the Rfam family "Bacterial small subunit ribosomal RNA", at positions 80 to 518 of the family's 1533-position model. The record is from RNAcentral.
AAUCUGAGGUGGCGACCGGCGCACGGGUGAGUAACACGUAUGCAACCUGCCUGUAAGCGGGGAAGUAACCCGUUGAAAGACGGACUAAUACCGCAUAAUACUAAAUUACUGCAUGGUAAUUUAUUUAAACAUUUAUGGCUUACAGAUGGGCAUGCGCAUGAUUAGCUAGUUGGAGAGGUAACGGCUCCCCAAGGCAACGAUCAUUAGGGGUUCUGAGAGGAAGGUCCCCCACACUGGUACUGGGACACGGACCAGACUCCUACGGGAGGCAGCAGUGAGGAAUAUUGGUCAAUGGACGAGAGUCUGAACCAGCCAAGUCGCGUGCAGGAAGAAUGUCCUAUGGAUUGUAAACUGCUUUUGCAGGGGAAUAAAGUGCAUCACGUGUGAUGUUUUGUAUGUACUCUGCGAAUAAGGAUCGGCUAACUCCGUGCCAGCAGCUGC